UACGUAGGUGGCAAGCGUUAUCCGGAUUUACUGGGUGUAAAGGGCGCGUAGGCGGGGAUACAAGUCAGAUGUGAAAUCUAGGGGCUCAACUCCUAAACUGCAUUUGAAACUGUAUUUCUUGAGUGAUGGAGAGGCAAGCAGAAUUCCUAGUGUAGCGGUGAAAUGCGUAGAUAUUAGGAGGAAUACCAGUGGCGAAGGCGGCUUGCUGGACAUUAACUGACGCUGAUGCGCGAAAGCGUGGGGAGCAAAC
RNAcentral lists this ribosomal RNA (250 nucleotides) under uncultured bacterium. RNAcentral's name for it is "partial 16S ribosomal RNA". It matches the Rfam family "Bacterial small subunit ribosomal RNA", at positions 524 to 773 of the family's 1533-position model. The record is from RNAcentral.